AUACGUAGGGGGCGAGCGUUGUCCGGAAUGAUUGGGCGUAAAGGGCGCGUAGGCGGCCCGGUAAGUCUGGAGUGAAAGUCCUGUUUUUAAGAUGGGAAUUGCUUUGGAUACUGUCGGGCUUGAGUGCAGGAGAGGUAAGUGGAAUUCCCAGCGUAGCGGUGAAAUGCGUAGAGAUUGGGAGGAACACCAGUGGCGAAGGCGACUUACUGGACUGUAACUGACGCUGAGGCGCGAAAGUGUGGGGAGCAAACAGGAUUAGAUACCCUGGUAGUCCACACUGUAAACGAUGAAUGCUAGGUGUAAGAGGUAUCGACCCCUUUUGUGCCGGAGUCAACACAAUAAGCAUUCCGCCUGGGGAGUACGGCCACAAGGUUGAAACUCAAAGGAAUUGACGGGG
Molecule: ribosomal RNA, 397 nt
Filed under: uncultured bacterium
Lineage: Bacteria
Description: partial 16S ribosomal RNA
Rfam family: Bacterial small subunit ribosomal RNA
Source: RNAcentral